GCUUGGGAAUCUGCCCAGUAGUGGGGGAUAACCUGUGGAAACGCACGCUAAUACCGCAUACGUCCUACGGGAGAAAGCAGGGGAUCUUCAGACCUUGCGCUAUUGGAUGAGCCCAAGUCGGAUUAGCUAGUUGGUGGGGUAAUGGCCUACCAAGGCGACGAUCCGUAGCUGGUCUGAGAGGAUGAUCAGCCACACUGGAACUGAGACACGGCCCAGACUCCUACGGGAGGCAGCAGUGGGGAAUAUUGCACAAUGGGCGAAAGCCUGAUGCAGCCAUGCCGCGUGUGUGAAGAAGGCUCU
Molecule: ribosomal RNA, 300 nt
Filed under: uncultured Alteromonadaceae bacterium
Lineage: Bacteria; Pseudomonadati; Pseudomonadota; Gammaproteobacteria; Alteromonadales; Alteromonadaceae
Description: bacterial SSU rRNA
Rfam family: Bacterial small subunit ribosomal RNA
Source: RNAcentral